AUCACCUGUGUAUCUUGUUAAAAUGCAUAUUCUGAUUCAGUAGGUCUGGGUGGGGCAGAGAUUCUGCAUUUUUAACAAGUUCUCAGGUGAUGCUGCU
Pteropus vampyrus (large flying fox) is the source of this 97-nucleotide microRNA precursor. NCBI's taxonomy places the organism in Eukaryota, Metazoa, Chordata, Mammalia, Chiroptera, Pteropodidae. The record is from Ensembl.